Molecule: ribosomal RNA, 730 nt
Filed under: uncultured Bacilli bacterium
Lineage: Bacteria; Bacillati; Bacillota; Bacilli
Description: bacterial SSU rRNA
Rfam family: Bacterial small subunit ribosomal RNA
Source: RNAcentral
AUGCAAGUAGAACGUUGAAGGAGGAGCUUGCUUCUCUGGAUGAGUUGCGAACGGGUGAGUAACGCGUAGGUAACCUGCCUGGUAGCGGGGGAUAACUAUUGGAAACGAUAGCUAAUACCGCAUAAGAGUAGAUGUUGCAUGACAUUUGCUUAAAAGGUGCAAUUGCAUCACUACCAGAUGGACCUGCGUUGUAUUAGCUAGUUGGUGGGGUAACGGCUCACCAAGGCGACGAUACAUAGCCGACCUGAGAGGGUGAUCGGCCGCACUGGGACUGAGACACGGCCCAGACUCCUACGGGAGGCAGCAGUAGGGAAUCUUCGGCAAUGGACGGAAGUCUGACCGAGCAACGCCGCGUGAGUGAAGAAGGUUUUCGGAUCGUAAAGCUCUGUUGUAAGAGAAGAACGAGUGUGAGAGUGGAAAGUUCACACUGUGACGGUAUCUUACCAGAAAGGGACGGCUAACUACGUGCCAGCAGCCGCGGUAAUACGUAGGUCCUGAGCGUUGUCCGGAUUUAUUGGGCGUAAAGCGAGCGCAGGCGGUUAGAUAAGUCUGAAGUUAAAGGCUGUGGCUUAACCAUAGUACGCUUUGGAAACUGUUUAACUUGAGUGCAAGAGGGGAGAGUGGAAUUCCAUGUGUAGCGGUGAAAUGCGUAGAUAUAUGGAGGAACACCGGUGGCGAAAGCGGCUCUCUGGCUUGUAACUGACGCUGAGGCUCGAAGCGUGGGGAGCAA